Molecule: ribosomal RNA, 303 nt
Filed under: uncultured bacterium
Lineage: Bacteria
Description: bacterial SSU rRNA
Rfam family: Bacterial small subunit ribosomal RNA
Source: RNAcentral
UGAGGGAUAUUGGGCAAUGGGGGAAACCCUGACCCAGCGACGCCGCGUGAGGGAAGACGGUCUUCGGAUUGUAAACCUCUGUCUUUGGGGACGAAAAAGGACGGUACCCAAGGAGGAAGCUCCGGCUAACUACGUGCCAGCAGCCGCGGUAAUACGUAGGGAGCGAGCGUUGUCCGGAAUUACUGGGUGUAAAGGGAGCGUAGGCGGGAUUGCAAGUUGGAUGUGAAAACUGCGGGCUCAACCCGGAGCGUGCAUUCAAAACUGCGAUUCUUGAGUGAAGUAGAGGCAAGCGGAAUUCCUAGU